UCCCACCUGACCCCAUGCCGAACUCAGAAGUGAAACGCCGUAGCGCCGAUGGUAGUGUGGGGUCUCCCCAUGCGAGAGUAGGGAACUGCCAGGCA
RNAcentral lists this ribosomal RNA (95 nucleotides) under Escherichia coli. The record is from RNAcentral. Lineage: Bacteria; Pseudomonadati; Pseudomonadota; Gammaproteobacteria; Enterobacterales; Enterobacteriaceae. RNAcentral also lists the same sequence under 5 other names.